Molecule: ribosomal RNA, 490 nt
Filed under: uncultured bacterium
Lineage: Bacteria
Description: partial 16S ribosomal RNA
Rfam family: Bacterial small subunit ribosomal RNA
Source: RNAcentral
AUUGAACGCUGGCGGCAUGCCUUACACAUGCAAGUCGAACGGCAGCAUGAUCUAGCUUGCUAGAUUGAUGGCGAGUGGCGAACGGGUGAGUAAUACAUCGGAACGUGCCCUGUAGUGGGGGAUAACUAGUCGAAAGAUUAGCUAAUACCGCAUACAACCUGAGGGUGAAAGUGGGGGACCGCAAGGCCUCAUGCUAUAGGAGCGGCCGAUGUCUGAUUAGCUAGUUGGUGAGGUAAAGGCUCACCAAGGCGACGAUCAGUAGCUGGUCUGAGAGGACGAUCAGCCACACUGGGACUGAGACACGGCCCAGACUCCUACGGGAGGCAGCAGUGGGGAAUUUUGGACAAUGGGCGAAAGCCUGAUCCAGCAAUGCCGCGUGUGUGAAGAAGGCCUUCGGGUUGUAAAGCACUUUUGUCCGGAAAGAAAUGGCUCUGGUUAAUACCUGGGGUCGAUGACGGUACCGGAAGAAUAAGGACCGGCUAACUACGUG